AAACUUUGCAAUGUGCGAAAGCACGACAAGGUUAAUCCGAGUGUUUCCUGCUAAAGGAAUCUUUUGUUAGUCGUAAAACCACUAUUGAAUAAGGGGUGGGCAAGUUCUGGUGUCAGCCGCCGCGGUAAAACCAGCACCUCAAGUGGUCAGGAGGUUUAUUGGGCCUAAAGCAUCCGUAGCCUGAUCUAUAAGUUUCCGGUUAAAUCCACAUGCUCAACAUUUGGGCUGCCGGAAAAACUGUAGAUCUAGGGAGUGGGAGAGGUAGACGGUACUCGGUAGGAAGGGGUAAAAUCCUUUGAUCUAUUGAUGACCACCAGUGGCGAAGGCGGUCUACCAGAACACGUUCGACGGUGAGGGAUGAAAGCUGGGGGAGCAAACCGGAUUAGAUACCCGGGUAGUCCCAGCUGUAAACGAUGCAGACUCGGUGAUGCAUUGGCUUGUGGCCAGUGCAGUGCCGCAGGGAAGCCGUUAAGUUUGCCGCCUGGGAAGUACGUACGCAAGUAUGAAACUUAAAGGAAUUGGCGGGGGAGCAC
This 533-nucleotide ribosomal RNA is filed under the name uncultured archaeon. RNAcentral describes it as "bacterial SSU rRNA". It matches the Rfam family "Archaeal small subunit ribosomal RNA", at positions 345 to 879 of the family's 1478-position model. The record is from RNAcentral.